AGCUUUGCGCAGUGGCAGUAUCGUAGCCUAUGAGGUUUAUCCGAGGCGCGAUUAUUGCUAGUUGAAAACUUUACCCAAUACCCCGCCUUGACGACUUGAAAUAUAGUCGGCAACGGCAAUUUUUGAUGGUCUCUAAGGAGA
This 141-nucleotide small nuclear RNA is filed under the name Betta splendens (Siamese fighting fish). RNAcentral's name for it is "U4 spliceosomal RNA (ENSBSLG00000025354.1)". It matches the Rfam family "U4 spliceosomal RNA". Rfam says of the family: U4 small nuclear RNA (U4 snRNA) is a component of the major U2-dependent spliceosome. The structure of U4 snRNA from yeast and human has been reported. The record is from Rfam by way of RNAcentral. Lineage: Eukaryota; Metazoa; Chordata; Actinopteri; Anabantiformes; Osphronemidae.